RNAcentral lists this ribosomal RNA (465 nucleotides) under uncultured bacterium. RNAcentral describes it as "partial 16S ribosomal RNA". It matches the Rfam family "Bacterial small subunit ribosomal RNA", at positions 39 to 523 of the family's 1533-position model. The record is from RNAcentral.
GCGGCGUGCUUCAUACAUGCAAGUCGAACGAGAAGCAGGAGCUUGCUCCUGUGGAAAGUGGCGGACGGGUGAGUAACACGUAGGAAAUCUGCCUUUGGGUGGGGGACAACAGUUGGAAACGACUGCUAAUACCCCAUAUGAGCUUGGUUGCAAUACCAAUCUUGAAAACUACGGUGCCUAAAGAUGAGCCUGCGUCUGAUUAGCUUGUUGGCGGGGUAAUGGCCCACCAGGGCGACGAUCAGUAGCUGGUUUGAGAGGAUGAUCAGCCACAAUGGGACUGAGACACGGCCCAUACUCCUACGGGAGGCAGCAGUAGGGAAUUUUGCGCAAUGGGGGAAACCCUGACGCAGCAACGCCGCGUGAAUGACGAAGCCCUUCGAGGUGUAAAGUUCUGUCAGUAGGGAAGAAUUUUGACUGUACCUACAAAGGAAGCACCGGCUAACUCCGUGCCAGCCGCCGCAGUAA